GACAGUUGCACCAGAGUGCCAAGCUUUCAAAACUCCUUUGACACAUAAGGCUAUGAAUAUCUAGAGGGAAACAGCCAGCAGGCAAACAUAUAUAUUAAACUGGAUUAUUUCAUAGAAGUAGAGUAACUGGGAGAACCUGGUUUUGGGGGGGGGGAGCUAAAAACCCUCAGCUAGAGAGAACAGUGCUAUAUGGAAGAAUUUUUUUAUAAUGCAAAUGGGGUGAAAGGAGAGACAUCUGUCUUUGGAAAAAGGCAGAUGUGAGAUGGCAAAUGAAAACCCAAAAUAUUAUUGCACUUUGCAUAUUGUUUAGGGGACAUAAGUGCUAAGCCUGAGUAGCGGGCACUCAAGAAAUAUACUGAACUGGCUUGCAAAAACUCAAGGUUGUCUCGGGACCAGAGGCUAGGCUCCUGUCUUUACAAACGUGGCCGGCUCCUGGAUUUGAAGCUUGUGAAACCUCCAGAUUCUGGGGUUACAGCACACACAGCUGCCAUGCCUGCUUAUGCAUGUUACAGCUCUCCAUCACUGAAGCUAUGUAUCUCCAGCCCCUCAUCCUGAGGUCUAAUGACAAAGCCUACUGCACUCCUCAUCCUGCCCCAGGGAGGGCUGUUGACCCCACCCCAAGGAAGGUCACUUACUGUAGACCCCAUUGGUCCCUUUCCCAUCCAUCUCUCUAAGAGCUCCUUUUCAGACUCCUCUUUUGGCUCUUUCUUUAACCACUGGCUGCAUCCUUUUCUUCAGGGUUCUGACUCAUUUGUGCGACAUCUCCAGGCUAUCUCACAGGCUAUGUGACACACCUGAUCUCUUACAUUCCUGCAGUUCUCUGCCCUUGUUUUCAGAUUUCUUCCUUCACCGCUGCCGGCAUCAUGCAGUCCCUCCAAGUUCCAUGUGCUACUAGUGGUACUUGGCACUUGCUCCCCUUCCCAAGUUUAGCUUUUUUAAAAAAAAUGUAUUUAUUUUUAUUUUAUAUGCAUUGGUGUCUUGCUUGCAUGUAUGUCUGUGUGAGGGUGCCAGAUCUUGGAGUUACAGACAGUGUGAGCUGCCUUGUGGGUGCUGGGAAUUGAGCCAGGGUCCUCUGGAAGGGCAGUCGGUGCUCUUAACCCCUGAGCCAUCAUCUCUCCAGCCCCAGGUUGAGCUUUGUUAAUGUUGUUGACGGCCAGCACGGGCUCCCUUACAGUCAAACCUCUGUCUGAUCAGUGUAUGUGCCCUGGGUGCUGCUUCUGGAUCUCCUUUGGCUCUGUGGCCCCAUGGCCCCCCUCUGCUGCUGUGGCCAUUCAGACUCUAGUUCCUUCCAUCCUGGCCUCUAGUUGGCUUUCCUGGUUCCCCCUUCUCCUAACUCUGGCUCUCCCUUCACUUCCUCACAGGGUUUUCAAUAUGGACAAUCACUGUUCUGUAUUCAGGAACUCUUGAUACUUUCUUACUGUCCUCAGUGUAAAUGAAAGUUUCUUAGCUAUGAAUCAAAUUUCUUCCCAGCAUAGGCACAGACUACCCCACCUCUGCUCACUCACCCACAUCAGCCUUCCUCCUCCUGCAUAGACACUGUUCUUGUUCAUAUUCCUUUGUGCUUUUCCUUGUCUUGUUCCCUUGACC
This 1587-nucleotide long non-coding RNA is filed under the name Mus musculus (house mouse). RNAcentral describes it as "long non-coding RNA chr6:31241823-31243410". Lineage: Eukaryota; Metazoa; Chordata; Mammalia; Rodentia; Muridae. The record is from RNAcentral.